This 426-nucleotide ribosomal RNA is filed under the name uncultured bacterium. Its description in RNAcentral is "bacterial SSU rRNA". It matches the Rfam family "Bacterial small subunit ribosomal RNA", at positions 354 to 796 of the family's 1533-position model. The record is from RNAcentral.
GCAAGGAAUUUUGCGCAAUGGGCGAAAGCCUGACGCAGCGACGCCGCGUGGGGGAUGAAGGCUUUCGAGUUGUAAACCCCUUUUCCUGAGGAAGAAUACUGACGGUACUCGGGGAAUAAGUCUUGGCUAACUACGUGCCAGCAGCCGCGGUAAUACGUAGGAGGCAAACGUUAUUCGGAUUUACUGGGCGUAAAGCGGGUGUAGACGGCUGCUUAAGUCGGUUGUGAAAUCUCCUGACUUAAUUGGGAGAAGUCAAUCGAUACUGAGUAGCUAGAGGGCAGCAGAAGAAAGUGGAAUUCCCGGUGUAGCGGUGAUAUGCGUAGAUAUCGGGAGGAACACCAGUGGCGAAGGCGGCUUUCUAGGCUGUUCCUGACGUUGAUACCCAAAAGCGUGGGGAGCGAAACGGAUUAGAUACCCUAGUAGUCC